AACGAACGCUGGCGGCGGGCCUCAUACAUGCAAGUCGAGCGCGAAAGUCCGCAAGGAUGAGUAAAGCGGCGCACGGGUGAGUAACACGUGGGUAAUCUACCUUUUGGAUUGGAAUAACCUGUCGAAAGACGGGCUAAUGCCAAGUAAGUUCUUUGGAACGUGGAGUUUUGAAGAAGAAAGAUGGCGCAAGCUAUCGCCGAAAGAUGAGCCUGCGUCCCAUUAGUUAGUUGGUGGGGUAAUGGCUUACCAAGACAAUGAUGGGUACCUGGUCUGAGAGGAUGACCAGGCACACUGGAACUGAAACACGGUCCAGACUCCUACGGGAGGCAGCAGUAGGGAAUAUUGCGCAAUGGACGAAAGUCUGACGCAGCCACGCCGCGUGAGUGAGGAAGGCCUUCGGGUUGU
Molecule: ribosomal RNA, 405 nt
Filed under: uncultured bacterium
Lineage: Bacteria
Description: bacterial SSU rRNA
Rfam family: Bacterial small subunit ribosomal RNA
Source: RNAcentral